GACGAACGCUGGCGCCGUGCCUAAUACAUGCAAGUUGAGCGCUGAAGGUUGGUACUUGUACCAACUGGAUGAGCAGCGAACGGGUGAGUAACGCGUGGGGAAUCUGCCUUUGAGCGGGGGACAACAUUUGGAAACGAAUGCCAAUACCGCAUAAAAACUUUAAACACAAGUUUUAAGUUUGAAAGGUGCAAUUGCAUCACUCAAAGAUGAUCCCGCGUUGUAUUAGCUAGUUGGUGAGGUAAAGGCUCACCAAGGCGAUGAUACAUAGCCGACCUGAGAGGGUGAUCGGCCACAUUGGGACUGAGACACGGCCCAAACUCCUACGGGAGGCAGCAGUAGGGAAUCUUCGGCAAUGGACGAAAGUCUGACCGAGCAACGCCGCGUGAGUGAAGAAGGUUUUCGGAUCGUAAAACUCUGUUGGUAGAGAAGAACGUUGGUGAGAGUGGAAAGCUCAUCAAGUGACGGUAACUACCCAGAAAGGGACGGCUAACUACGUG
This 497-nucleotide ribosomal RNA is filed under the name uncultured bacterium. RNAcentral's name for it is "partial 16S ribosomal RNA". It matches the Rfam family "Bacterial small subunit ribosomal RNA", at positions 28 to 507 of the family's 1533-position model. The record is from RNAcentral.